RNAcentral lists this unclassified non-coding RNA (326 nucleotides) under Hevea brasiliensis (rubber tree). Lineage: Eukaryota; Viridiplantae; Streptophyta; Magnoliopsida; Malpighiales; Euphorbiaceae. The record is from RNAcentral.
GAAUGUAUGACAUCUUUUUCAGUAGGGUUUUUCUGCUUGCAACUAGGUGAUUUCUGCGUUCUAUUAUCUGCUGAAAUUGAAAAUUCGCUCGAUUCAGCUUGUUCCGAAAAUAGGUGAGUGUCUUCUUCUUCUUUCACUCCCUGAAUUCCAAUACCCAUGUUGUAUUUUCUCUGUAAAACUAUUCUCCAUAGGAGAAAUGGAUACUCAAUUACAGCUCAAAACCCAUCAAUACCAUUAUCAUCAUUCCUUAGAUACUUGUCUAGCGAUGCAAAUCAACUCUCGUUUACUGUUUCUUACCUCAUAAACACAUGUGGGUUGUCCCCGGA